GGAGUUAGCCGGUGCUUCUUCUGUGAGUGAUGUCCUUCCUGCCGGCUAUUAACCCGCAGGCCUUCUUCCUCACUGAAAGUGCUUUACAACCCGAAGGCCUUCUUCACACACGCGGCAUGGCUGGAUCAGGGUUGCCCCCAUUGUCCAAUAUUCCCCACUGCUGCCUCCCGUAGGAGUCUGGGCCGUGUCUCAGUCCCAGUGUGGCUGAUCAUCCUCUCAGACCAGCUACGGAUCGUCGCCUUGGUGAGCCGUUACCUCACCAACCAGCUAAUCCGACAUAGGCUCAUCCGAUAGCGCGAGGCCCGAAGGUCCCCCGCUUUCCCCCGUAGGGCGUAUGCGGUAUUAGCCUGGGUUUCCCCAGGUUAUCCCCCACUACCGGGCAGAUUCCUAUGCAUUACUCACCCGUCCGCCGCUCGCCACCAGGGAGCAAGCUCCCCGUGCUGCCGCUCGACUUGCAUGUGUUAGGCCUGUCGCCAGCGUUCAAUCUGAACCAAGAUCAAAUUCUGA
RNAcentral lists this ribosomal RNA (507 nucleotides) under uncultured bacterium. RNAcentral's name for it is "partial 16S ribosomal RNA". The record is from RNAcentral.